This 183-nucleotide microRNA precursor is filed under the name Oryza rufipogon (brownbeard rice). Its description in RNAcentral is "MIR812 microRNA precursor family". It matches the Rfam family "MIR812 microRNA precursor family". The record is from Rfam by way of RNAcentral. Lineage: Eukaryota; Viridiplantae; Streptophyta; Magnoliopsida; Poales; Poaceae.
AAAAAACCAAACCCUGGAUUUUCGUGUCCAACUUUAACUGUCCGUCUUAUAUGAAAUUUUUUUAUAAUUCGUAUUUUCAUUGUUGUUAGAUGAUAAAACAUGAUUAAUAUUUUAUGCGUGACUUGUCUUUUUAAUUUUUUUAAAUAAGACGGACGGUUAAACGUUAGACACGGAAACAUGGUU